UUAAGUUAUUAAGGGCGCACGGUGGAUGCCUUGGCACUAGAAGCCGAUGAAGGACGUUACUAACGACGAUAUGCUUUGGGGAGCUGUAAGUAAGCUUUGAUCCAGAGAUUUCCGAAUGGGGAAACCCAGCAUGAGUUAUGUCAUGUUAUCGAUAUGUGAAUACAUAGCAUAUCAGAAGGCACACCCGGAGAACUGAAACAUCUUAGUACCCGGAGGAAGAGAAAGAAAAUUCGAUUCCCUUAGUAGCGGCGAGCGAAACGGGAAGAGCCCAAACCAACAAGCUUGCUUGUUGGGGUUGUAGGACACUCUAUACGGAGUUACAAAGGACGACAUUAGACGAAUCAUCUGGAAAGAUGAAUCAAAGAAGGUAAUAAUCCUGUAGUCGAAAAUGUUGUCUCUCUUGAGUGGAUCCUGAGUACGACGGAGCACGUGAAAUUCCGUCGGAAUCUGGGAGGACCAUCUCCUAAGGCUAAAUACUCUCUAGUGACCGAUAGUGAACCAGUACCGUGAGGGAAAGGUGAAAAGCACCCCGGAAGGGGAGUGAAAUAGAACCUGAAACCGUGUGCUUACAAGUAGUCAGAGCCCGUUAAUGGGUGAUGGCGUGCCUUUUGUAGAAUGAACCGGCGAGUUACGAUUUGAUGCAAGGUUAAGCAGUAAAUGUGGAGCCGUAGCGAAAGCGAGUCUGAAUAGGGCGUUUAGUAUUUGGUCGUAGACCCGAAACCAGGUGAUCUACCCUUGGUCAGGUUGAAGUUCAGGUAACACUGAAUGGAGGACCGAACCGACUUACGUUGAAAAGUGAGCGGAUGAACUGAGGGUAGCGGAGAAAUUCCAAUCGAACCUGGAGAUAGCUGGUUCUCUCCGAAAUAGCUUUAGGGCUAGCCUCAAGUGAUGAUUAUUGGAGGUAGAGCACUGUUUGGACGAGGGGCCCCUCUCGGGUUACCGAAUUCAGACAAACUCCGAAUGCCAAUUAAUUUAACUUGGGAGUCAGAACAUGGGUGAUAAGGUCCGUGUUCGAAAGGGAAACAGCCCAGACCACCAGCUAAGGUCCCAAAAUAUAUGUUAAGUGGAAAAGGAUGUGGCGUUGCCCAGACAACUAGGAUGUUGGCUUAGAAGCAGCCAUCAUUUAAAGAGUGCGUAAUAGCUCACUAGUCGAGUGACACUGCGCCGAAAAUGUACCGGGGCUAAACAUAUUACCGAAGCUGUGGAUUGUCCUUUGGACAAUGGUAGGAGAGCGUUCUAAGGGCGUUGAAGCAUGAUCGUAAGGACAUGUGGAGCGCUUAGAAGUGAGAAUGCCGGUGUGAGUAGCGAAAGACGGGUGAGAAUCCCGUCCACCGAUUGACUAAGGUUUCCAGAGGAAGGCUCGUCCGCUCUGGGUUAGUCGGGUCCUAAGCUGAGGCCGACAGGCGUAGGCGAUGGAUAACAGGUUGAUAUUCCUGUACCACCUAUAAUCGUUUUAAUCGAUGGGGGGACGCAGUAGGAUAGGCGAAGCGUGCGAUUGGAUUGCACGUCUAAGCAGUAAGGCUGAGUAUUAGGCAAAUCCGGUACUCGUUAAGGCUGAGCUGUGAUGGGGAGAAGACAUUGAGUCUUCGAGUCGUUGAUUUCACACUGCCGAGAAAAGCCUCUAGAUAGAAAAUAGGUGCCCGUACCGCAAACCGACACAGGUAGUCAAGAUGAGAAUUCUAAGGUGAGCGAGCGAACUCUCGUUAAGGAACUCGGCAAAAUGACCCCGUAACUUCGGGAGAAGGGGUGCUCUUUAGGGUUAACGCCCAGAAGAGCCGCAGUGAAUAGGCCCAAGCGACUGUUUAUCAAAAACACAGGUCUCUGCUAAACCGUAAGGUGAUGUAUAGGGGCUGACGCCUGCCCGGUGCUGGAAGGUUAAGAGGAGUGGUUAGCUUCUGCGAAGCUACGAAUCGAAGCCCCAGUAAACGGCGGCCGUAACUAUAACGGUCCUAAGGUAGCGAAAUUCCUUGUCGGGUAAGUUCCGACCCGCACGAAAGGCGUAACGAUUUGGGCACUGUCUCAACGAGAGACUCGGUGAAAUCAUAGUACCUGUGAAGAUGCAGGUUACCCGCGACAGGACGGAAAGACCCCGUGGAGCUUUACUGUAGCCUGAUAUUGAAAUUCGGCACAGCUUGUACAGGAUAGGUAGGAGCCUUUGAAACGUGAGCGCUAGCUUACGUGGAGGCGCUGGUGGGAUACUACCCUAGCUGUGUUGGCUUUCUAACCCGCACCACUUAUCGUGGUGGGAGACAGUGUCAAGCGGGCAGUUUGACUGGGGCGGUCGCCUCCUAAAAGGUAACGGAGGCGCUCAAAGGUUCCCUCAGAAUGGUUGGAAAUCAUUCAUAGAGUGUAAAGGCAUAAGGGAGCUUGACUGCGAGACCUACAAGUCGAGCAGGGUCGAAAGACGGACUUAGUGAUCCGGUGGUUCCGCAUGGAAGGGCCAUCGCUCAACGGAUAAAAGCUACCCCGGGGAUAACAGGCUUAUCUCCCCCAAGAGUUCACAUCGACGGGGAGGUUUGGCACCUCGAUGUCGGCUCAUCGCAUCCUGGGGCUGUAGUCGGUCCCAAGGGUUGGGCUGUUCGCCCAUUAAAGCGGUACGCGAGCUGGGUUCAGAACGUCGUGAGACAGUUCGGUCCCUAUCCGUCGUGGGCGUAGGAAAUUUGAGAGGAGCUGUCCUUAGUACGAGAGGACCGGGAUGGACAUACCUCUGGUGUACCAGUUGUCGUGCCAACGGCAUAGCUGGGUAGCUAUGUGUGGACGGGAUAAGUGCUGAAAGCAUCUAAGCAUGAAGC
This 2792-nucleotide ribosomal RNA is filed under the name Staphylococcus aureus M0568. RNAcentral's name for it is "bacterial LSU rRNA". It matches the Rfam family "Bacterial large subunit ribosomal RNA". The record is from RNAcentral. Lineage: Bacteria; Bacillati; Bacillota; Bacilli; Caryophanales; Staphylococcaceae.